UGCUUACUCUGAAGUAUGAUGUUUCUGUAUGGCACCUUAUAAAAAAUAGGCUAUUGUGAAGAAAACUAAAGAGCCUGCUAGUCAGAGGAGUCUGCUUGGCCGGUUCCAGUUGGCUGACUCCUAACAGCAGGACGCAUCCGCAGAUUCUCCUGAGGUUGCAGCUUUCCUGUUCCUUGUUUUGCCUUCCAUUUUCUAGGAUUUAAAAUGUUGGUGUGGUAAAAAAAAAAAAAAAAAAAAAAAAAAAAAACUGGUUAGAGAAGGCCCAACAGUCACCUGGUAUAGCUGAUUGGAAAUAAUAGCUAUAAAAACUUUCCCUACCCAGCAUUAUUAGUGAUGCAACACAAAAUAGCAGCCAUUCUAUAUGUCAGAAUGUCACCAUUUUAGAUGA
Pipistrellus kuhlii (Kuhl's pipistrelle) is the source of this 388-nucleotide long non-coding RNA. RefSeq lists it as uncharacterized. The record is from RefSeq and is a predicted model, not a curated record. NCBI's taxonomy places the organism in Eukaryota, Metazoa, Chordata, Mammalia, Chiroptera, Vespertilionidae. The transcript has 2 exons.